AGAGUUUGAUCCUGGCUCAGGACGAACGCUGGCGGCGUGCCUAAUACAUGCAAGUAGAACGCUGAAGAGAGGAGCUUGCUCUUCUUGGAUGAGUUGCGAACGGGUGAGUAACGCGUAGGUAACCUGCCUUGUAGCGGGGGAUAACUAUUGGAAACGAUAGCUAAUACCGCAUAACAAUGGAUGACACAUGUCAUUUAUUUGAAAGGGGCAAUUGUUCCACUACAAGAUGGACCUGCGUUGUAUUAGCUAGUAGGUGAGGUAAUGGCUCACCUAGGCGACGAUACAUAGCCGACCUGAGAGGGUGAUCGGCCACACUGGGACUGAGACACGGCCCAGACUCCUACGGGAGGCAGCAGUAGGGAAUCCUCGGCAAUGGGGGCAACCCUGACCGAGCAACGCCGCGUGAGUGAAGAAGGUUUUCGGAUCGUAAAGCUCUGUUGUAAGUCAAGAACGGGUGUGAGAGUGGAAAGUUCACACUGUGACGGUAGCUUACCAGAAAGGGACGGCUAACUACGUGCCAGCAGCCGCGGUAAUACGUAGGUCCCGAGCGUUGUCCGGAUUUAUUGGGCGUAAAGCGAGCGCAGGCGGUUUGAUAAGUCUGAAGUUAAAGGCUGUGGCUCAACCAUAGUUCGCUUUGGAAACUGUCAAACUUGAGUGCAGAAGGGGAGAGUGGAAUUCCAUGUGUAGCGGUGAAAUGCGUAGAUAUAUGGAGGAACACCGGUGGCGAAAGCGGCUCUCUGGUCUGUAACUGACGCUGAGGCUCGAAAGCGUGGGGAGCGAACAGGAUUAGAUACCCUGGUAGUCCACGCCGUAAACGAUGAGUGCUAGGUGUUGGAUCCUUUCCGGGAUUCAGUGCCGCAGCUAACGCAUUAAGCACUCCGCCUGGGGAGUACGACCGCAAGGUUGAAACUCAAAGGAAUUGACGGGGGCCCGCACAAGCGGUGGAGCAUGUGGUUUAAUUCGAAGCAACGCGAAGAACCUUACCAGGUCUUGACAUCCCGAUGCUAUUUCUAGAGAUAGAAAGUUACUUCGGUACAUCGGUGACAGGUGGUGCAUGGUUGUCGUCAGCUCGUGUCGUGAGAUGUUGGGUUAAGUCCCGCAACGAGCGCAACCCCUAUUGUUAGUUGCCAUCAUUCAGUUGGGCACUCUAGCGAGACUGCCGGUAAUAAACCGGAGGAAGGUGGGGAUGACGUCAAAUCAUCAUGCCCCUUAUGACCUGGGCUACACACGUGCUACAAUGGUUGGUACAACGAGUUGCGAGUCGGUGACGGCGAGCUAAUCUCUUAAAGCCAAUCUCAGUUCGGAUUGUAGGCUGCAACUCGCCUACAUGAAGUCGGAAUCGCUAGUAAUCGCGGAUCAGCACGCCGCGAUGAAUACGUUCCCGGGCCUUGUACACACCGCCCGUCACACCACGAGAGUUUGUAACACCCGAAGUCGGUGAGGUAACCUUUUGGAGCCAGCCGCCUAAGGUGGGACAGAUGAUUGGGGUGAAGUCGUAACAAGGUA
This 1506-nucleotide ribosomal RNA is filed under the name metagenome. Its description in RNAcentral is "bacterial SSU rRNA". It matches the Rfam family "Bacterial small subunit ribosomal RNA". The record is from RNAcentral.